RNAcentral lists this ribosomal RNA (443 nucleotides) under uncultured bacterium. RNAcentral describes it as "partial 16S ribosomal RNA". It matches the Rfam family "Bacterial small subunit ribosomal RNA", at positions 338 to 795 of the family's 1533-position model. The record is from RNAcentral.
ACUACGGGCGGCAGCAGUGGGGAAUAUUGGACAAUGGGCGCAAGCCUGACCCAGCAACGCCGCGUGAAGGAAGAAGGCUUUCGGGUUGUAAACUUCUUUUGUCAGGGACGAAGCAAGUGACGGUACCUGACGAAUAAGCCACGGCUAACUACGUGCCAGCAGCCGCGGUAAUACGUAGGUGGCAAGCGUUAUCCGGAUUUACUGGGUGUAAAGGGCGUGUAGGCGGGGAAGCAAGUCAGAUGUGAAAACCACGGGCUCAACCUGUGGCCUGCAUUUGAAACUGUUUUUCUUGAGUGCUGAAGAGGCAAUCGGAAUUCCGUGUGUAGCGGUGAAAUGCGUAGAUAUACGGAGGAACACCAGUGGCGAAGGCGGAUUGCUGGACAGUAACUGACGCUGAGGCGCGAAAGCGUGGGGAGCAAACAGGAUUAGAUACCCCUGUAGUC